AUACUUACCUGGUGUAGAGGUAUUCGUGAUCAUUAAGGCGAAUCCUCCGGAAUGAGGCUCUUUCAUUGCACAUUCGAGGGGGCUGAACUCUGCGAUUAUGACUCAAGUUCAUAACUCGUGCACACUAUUUUUGGUAGCAGGGAAAAGCGUUCGCGCUAUCCCUAU
This is a small nuclear RNA of Sitodiplosis mosellana (orange wheat blossom midge), 165 nucleotides long. RefSeq annotates it as U1 spliceosomal RNA. The record is from RefSeq and is a predicted model, not a curated record. The transcript has a single exon. Lineage: Eukaryota; Metazoa; Arthropoda; Insecta; Diptera; Cecidomyiidae.